This 350-nucleotide unclassified non-coding RNA is filed under the name soil metagenome. RNAcentral's name for it is "partial contains 5.8S ribosomal RNA, internal transcribed spacer 2, and large subunit ribosomal RNA". The stretch from base 1 to 120 matches the Rfam family "5.8S ribosomal RNA", at positions 35 to 154 of the family's 154-position model. The record is from RNAcentral.
GAUGAAGAACGCAGCGAAAUGCGAUAAGUAGUGUGAAUUGCAGAAUUCAGUGAAUCAUCGAAUCUUUGAACGCACAUUGCGCCCCUUGGUAUCCCGAGGGGCAUGCCUGUUCGAGCGUCAUUGCUGCCCUUCAAGCCCGGCUUGUGUGUUGGGUCGUCGUCCCCCCCGGGGGACGGGCCCGAAAGGCAGCGGCGGCACCGCGUCCGGUCCUCGAGCGUAUGGGGCUUUGUCACCCGCUCGAUUAGGGCCGGCCGGGCGCCAGCCGGCGUCUCCAACCUUCUAUUUUACCAGGUUGACCUCGGAUCAGGUAGGGAUACCCGCUGAACUUAAGCAUAUCAAUAAGCGGAGGA